RNAcentral lists this ribosomal RNA (484 nucleotides) under uncultured bacterium. Its description in RNAcentral is "partial 16S ribosomal RNA". It matches the Rfam family "Bacterial small subunit ribosomal RNA", at positions 30 to 507 of the family's 1533-position model. The record is from RNAcentral.
AUUGAACGCUGGCGGCAGGCCUAACACAUGCAAGUCGAGCGGAUGAAGGGAGCUUGCUCCUGGAUUCAGCGGCGGACGGGUGAGUAAUGCCUAGGAAUCUGCCUGGUAGUGGGGGGUAACGUCCGGAAACGGGCGCUAAUACCGCAUACGUCCUGAGGGAGAAAGUGGGGGAUCUUCGGACCUCACGCUAUCAGAUGAGCCUAGGUCGGAUUAGCUAGUUGGUGGGGUAAAGGCCUACCAAGGCGACGAUCCGUAACUGGUCUGAGAGGAUGAUCAGUCACACUGGAACUGAGACACGGUCCAGACUCCUACGGGAGGCAGCAGUGGGGAAUAUUGGACAAUGGGCGAAAGCCUGAUCCAGCCAUGCCGCGUGUGUGAAGAAGGUCUUCGGAUUGUAAAGCACUUUAAGUUGGGAGGAAGGACAGUAAGUUAAUACCUUGCUGUUUUGACGUUACCAACAGAAUAAGCACCGGCUAACUUCGUG